UAUUAUAUUUGCACUUAUAUCCAAUUAAAUAUAUUUGCUUAUCAUUUUAAAACGUACUAAAUGCAUCAGCAUUAUAACAUGGACAUUUCCUGAGUAUAGAAAAUAUCGAUAAAUUAAAAUUGUUUGAAUUUAUUUUUCAAUUUCAGUUUCUUGCCAUUUUGUCAAAUGUGCUACUAAAAUGAAAAGUUUUAGAUAUGUUGAAGAGAAAACAGUAUAUUCUUAUGUUUCAGGUGGUUACAUGUUGGGGUUGGUAUCACGAUGAGUAUAAUGAAGAAGGUGAUUUUAAGAUCUCCAGAGAAGUACGGUAUUAUUGGUUAUAUUCUUCUUACGUUUAAUUCAAGCACCAUGAGGCAUUAAUCGGUGUACCAAUAAUGACAGAGUUUCAAAGAGACACAUAUCCAAGGAAUUGAGAUGGGAUUCAAGAUAUUUCAGAGGAAUGUGUAUUUUGUGCUAUUUUGAUAUUGGAUGAUGAAUAUACUUCUAUGUAUAACUGUGUCGAAUUCAUUUGAUAUAUUUGAAGUCUUCUUCCCUGGGACUUCACGAUAAAUCGCAUGGUAUGCGUUGAAUUUGACUUGAAACUAUACUCAAAACUCAAGUGCAGCAAGCAUUCAUCGAUGUAUGGAUAGGAUGUGUGCAUAACAUUAAGACUUUUACAAUCAGACUCACAUGGUGAAUUGCGUUAUGGAUUUUCAAAAGACGGCGGUGUAUUGAAUUUUUUUAGGAUGGAUAUACAUGUAUUGAUAUUUUCCCGCGUUUCGCUAGUAUAGCGGGAAAAUGUUGUAUUAAUGACAAGAUGUUUAUAAGCAUGUUGUGUGGAUUGGUCAGUACAGAGAGUGACCAAUAGAAAUUGAUUUUGAGGUGUAGUAGAGAACUGGUUUUUAAAGGUUGGUCACUUCUAGCCGCCGACUUAAGCGAGCAACAGCUAUUUUUUUUUAAAUUUAUGUGUAAAGGGUAUAAGUGAAUAUAUUUAUAUACAUAUAUUUGAUUUUUUUUCUUAGGGUUUUAUUGGUAGGUUGUGAGGUCCGUCGCAACAUUUUUUGCAUCCAGCGGCACUUGGCAACGGACACAGGUUUCUAGAGUUUUUUAAAAAUUAUUUUUAUCUCUAGUUUUUCCUGGCCGGCCCUGAUGCUUUUCAUGUUUAUCACAAAGAAUAUUUUACAAUUAUAAUAGAUGCAGCAGUUUUGGGGGAUUUUGAUGUUUUUAUUUCUCAUACACAAUGUCCUGUGUUCUAUAUAUGUAUAUUGAUGUACUGUUAAUAAAAUACGGCGUCCAGCGCACGCACGGCUGGCUGUCAUGCAUCGAAUGUUGUUGUUUGUUUGUAUAAAAGUAAUGGAGUGAAUACAUGUAUUUUUUUUUUUGUAGUGAUUAAUUGUUUUCAAAACAUUUUAUUGGAAAAUUUCCGUAAAAUUUUAUGUAUUUAUUGUUUGAAAUAUUGAAUGAUUUAUGAUUUAAAUGAAUUUUGUUGGAUUUAAUUUAAAAUCAAUUAUUUUAUACUUACAUUUUCCCGUUCUUUGUAUUUAGAGCUACUGCGUGUCGUUGCUAUGUCCAAAUGGUGUGUUUGUUGUUUAUUGUACUUUCAUUUGAAAGUAAUGAAUGGAUUUAGAGUAGAAAUAUGAUUUCUUUCGUUUGAGGAACGAAUUAGACAGAAAUCAAUUUCUACUUGGUGUGAUAAUGAAUUACUUUUUCGGAAUUACAAGGUUUUCAUUCGAAUACCUGGUGUAUAUCACGUGGUUCUUUAGAACCGGUCUCGUUAGCAAGGCUAUAUAAGAGGUGAAUAGUGGUUUAAAUACCAGUUUAGGACGACACGUAGAGCACGAUAAAGUUUAAAUUUUAUCAUGAUUUAUUCAAUCCAACAUAAACUUGUAUAUACAAAUUGAUUUUCAUAUUUUGCAUAUGUUAUGUACACUGCACAAAUAAAGCUACUGCGUGUCGUUGCUAUGUCCAAA
Molecule: long non-coding RNA, 1946 nt
Organism: Saccostrea cuccullata (small rock oyster)
Lineage: Eukaryota; Metazoa; Mollusca; Bivalvia; Ostreida; Ostreidae
Exons: 2
Source: RefSeq, a predicted model, not a curated record